AUUGAACGCUGGCGGCAUGCCUUACACAUGCAAGUCGAACGGCAGCACGGGUGCUUGCACCUGGUGGCGAGUGGCGAACGGGUGAGUAAUACAUCGGAACAUGUCCUGUAGCGGGGGAUAGCCCGGCGAAAGCCGGAUUAAUACCGCAUACGAUCUACGGAGGAAAGCGGGGGACCUUCGGGCCUCGCGCUAUAGGGUUGGCCGAUGGCUGAUUAGCUAGUUGGUGGGGUAAAGGCCUACCAAGGCGACGAUCAGUAGCUGGUCUGAGAGGACGACCAGCCACACUGGGACUGAGACACGGCCCAGACUCCUACGGGAGGCAGCAGUGGGGAAUUUUGGACAAUGGGCGAAAGCCUGAUCCAGCAAUGCCGCGUGUGUGAAGAAGGCCUUCGGGUUGUAAAGCACUUUUGUCCGGAAAGAAAUCCUUGGCCCUAAUACGGUCGGGGGAUGACGGUACCGGAAGAAUAAGCACCGGCUAACUACGUG
Molecule: ribosomal RNA, 486 nt
Filed under: uncultured bacterium
Lineage: Bacteria
Description: partial 16S ribosomal RNA
Rfam family: Bacterial small subunit ribosomal RNA
Source: RNAcentral